GAUGAACGCUGGCGGCGUGCCUAAUACAUGCAAGUCGAGCGAACGGACGAGAAGCUUGCUUUUCUGAUGUUAGCGGCGGACGGGUGAGUAACACGUGGAUAACCUACCUAUAAGACUGGGAUAACUUCGGGAAACCGGAGCUAAUACCGGAUAAUAUUUUGAACCGCAUGGUUCAAAAGUGAAAGACGGUCUUGCUGUCACUUAUAGAUGGAUCCGCGCUGCAUUAGCUAGUUGGUAAGGUAACGGCUUACCAAGGCAACGAUGCAUAGCCGACCUGAGAGGGGGGACCGGCCACCCGGAACCGGAGACACGGUCCGACUUCCUACGGAGGCAGCAGUAGGGAAUCUUCCGCAAUGGGCGAAAGCCUGACGGAGCAACGCCGCGUGAGUGAUGAAGGUCUUCGGAUCGUAAAACUCUGUUAUUAGGGAAGAACAUAUGUGUAAGUAACUGUGCACAUCUUGACGGUACCUAAUCAGAAAGCCACGGCUAACUACGUG
This 497-nucleotide ribosomal RNA is filed under the name uncultured bacterium. Its description in RNAcentral is "partial 16S ribosomal RNA". It matches the Rfam family "Bacterial small subunit ribosomal RNA", at positions 28 to 507 of the family's 1533-position model. The record is from RNAcentral.